This 399-nucleotide ribosomal RNA is filed under the name uncultured bacterium. RNAcentral describes it as "bacterial SSU rRNA". It matches the Rfam family "Bacterial small subunit ribosomal RNA", at positions 358 to 774 of the family's 1533-position model. The record is from RNAcentral.
GGAAUAUUGCACAAUGGGGGAAACCCUGAUGCAGCAACGCCGCGUGAGUGAUGAAGUAUUUCGGUAUGUAAAGCUCUAUCAGCAGGGAAGAUAAUGACGGUACCUGACUAAGAAGCCCCGGCUAACUACGUGCCAGCAGCCGCGGUAAUACGUAGGGGGCAAGCGUUAUCCGGAUUUACUGGGUGUAAAGGGAGCGCAGACGGUUCAGUAAGUCAGAAGUGAAAACCCGCGGCUCAACUGCGGGACUGCUUUUGAAACUAUUGAACUAGAGUGCUGGAGGGGCAAGCGGAAUUCCUGGUGUAGCGGUGAAAUGCGUAGAUAUCAGGAGGAACACCGGUGGCGAAGGCGGCUUGCUGGACAGUGACUGACGUUGAGGCUCGAAAGCGUGGGGAGCAAACA